GUGAUAGCUUUGCACAGGAAAAUACUUUAGGCAGAGGAAUGCAGGGCAUGGAAAACAAUUGAUAUGCCUGUAUCUUGUCCUUGUCUCUGGCUCCACAGGUGGGAGGGUGGAGAGAGUACUUCCUUUGGCCCACAUGAGGAGGAAAGAGCAGAUUAGCAGGGCCGAUGGAAUACAGGACUCGUCCAACUUGGUACAUGCAGAUAAGAUCUGACACUGCAAGACCUCAGACUACCUGGCUGAGGGAGAACAGUCAGCCAGCAAGAAGCACCAAGUGAUGGGAAAGGAAAAUUUGGCAAUGGUCAGGGAAGAUUCUACUUGCAAAAGAAAAAGAAAAGUCUCCUUUGGAUCGUGACAGCCAGGUCAUGGCUGAUUUACAGACAGCAGCAAAAAAGCCAUCUGAAGGCCAGUCCAACCAACUCUGCAGACCUCAGUGCUGUGACUUGGCACAGCAAGCCCAUGCCAUAGGUAUACAAGAUUUACAACAAACUGGAAAUACCCAGCAUCUGCUCAGCAAUAACAAGAUCAGCAGCCAUAUGUGAUUUGAAGCCAAGGCCUAAAGAAGCCCCACCUUUCUCCCCCCAAACAGGUUUUACAAACUCUGUUUCCAAAGGAGAGGGAUUUUACAAUGACAACAACAGCAGGAAUGAGGAUAUAACUAAGCAAAGAGAUUGGACAACUGAGAAUAUAAUUUGCAAUAAAAGAGCUUAUGAGCUACUUCCAAUGGCAUUUACAGAAUCUCCGCUCAGGGAUUCUUACACUGAUGUCAACUCACAGAUCCUACACUACAGACAAACUCCCCUUUAAAAGUUUGCAUAUACAGAUGUUUUAAAAUACUUAAUGACAUAGUUUCAGGCUACACUUUUAUAAUCAGAUGUAAUUGUCAAUAUUUGCUGAUUUAAGGAUUCUGGCAGAAGACAACAAAGCAUUCCCUCUAGGAAGUUGGAGUCUUCAUAGUGGAAAAUAUCAUGGCAGUAAUCCAAAGCUGGUACUAACAUUUCACCCUUCCCACACUGGCAUUUUAUUCAUCUGAAAGCUGGCCAAGCUGUAAUUGCUGGAGCUUUCAGCAGCCGUGUCAUCUAGCCACACUCACACAAAAGAGGGCAGUUAGUUCUUGUUACACAAGUCUGGGAUUUCAGCUGUACAACUGGGAUCUCAAAG
Manacus vitellinus (golden-collared manakin) is the source of this 1158-nucleotide long non-coding RNA. RefSeq lists it as uncharacterized. NCBI's taxonomy places the organism in Eukaryota, Metazoa, Chordata, Aves, Passeriformes, Pipridae. The transcript is spliced from 3 exons. The record is from RefSeq and is a predicted model, not a curated record.